Long non-coding RNA from Pipra filicauda (Wire-tailed manakin), 1242 nucleotides. RefSeq lists it as uncharacterized. The transcript is spliced from 2 exons. Lineage: Eukaryota; Metazoa; Chordata; Aves; Passeriformes; Pipridae. The record is from RefSeq and is a predicted model, not a curated record.
UGGUGCUUGAGGGCGUCAGACACGAAUGAUUCAUUUCCUCCUGACUGCUUAGGGAGAGGCAUAAAAGCUCCCAGUUCUGGGCUGUUCUACCCCAUUCUUCACCCAUUUCUGCUGCCUCGCUCCGUGCUCCGAAGCCCAACCUGCAGGAUCCUGCUGCCUGAGCUGGGCCGUGUGUUCCAGGCCGGUCUCCACUCCCAGAAAUGUCCUCCUCCAGGAAGAGCAGCAUCUCCAUCUCUUCCUUUCCCAGCGAAUCCCGCAGGCACAUCGCCAGCACCUGGGGCGGGCCCCGGCUCUCCUCCCCUGGGGGCUCCACGGUUGUGGUUUACCCACCCCCUGUGCUCAUACACUUCCCACCUCCCACCAUCACCUCCUGCCCCCAGGAGGGGUUUGUGAGCCCCAUCAGCCCCGGGAACCCCUGGAAAUCCUCGAGCGUUCUGGGGCCCUGCGGCUCUGACAACUGCAGGAGCCUUUUCGGGUGAUGGGAGGGCACGUUCUGCUCUGGCUCCAGGGCUCACCGAUGCUCUGGAUCCAUGUUCUGCUCUGGAUCCACGUUCUGCUCUGGCUCCAGGCCUCACUGAUGCUUUAGAUCCACGUUCUGCUCUGGAUCCACGUUCUGCUCUGGCUCCAGGCUCACCGAUGCUCUGGAUCCAUGUUCUGCUCUGGAUCCACGUUCUGCUCUGGCUCCAGGCCUCACUGAUGCUUUAGAUCCACGUUCUGCUCUGGAUCCACGUUCUGCUCUGGCUCCAGGCCUCACUGAUGCUUUAGAUCCACGUUCUGCUCUGGAUCCACGUUCUGCUCUGGCUCCAGGGCUCACUGAUGCUCUGGGAGCUGCAGCCCGAGUUAAAUGUGCAAGGAAUGAGGAGCAGCCCCCCACCAAGGAGGAAGAUGAGCCUCCCCAAGCCCCGUCCUGGCAGUGCCCACCUGGAGCACCAUCCCUUCCACAGCUCCGUGCAAUUCCCAAGAUAAUGGUUUAGUUUAGUUUUUGGGCUGUUCUUUCCACCUCCUGAUAACAACGACCUCAAAACCAUCACAUCAACCACCUGUGGCUGUUUGAAAGCGGGAUGAGACCGUGGAAGUCUUCCCAUGCCAUGGAAAAGCAGGAAUAAUGCACAUGGAAGGCAGAGCCCCGGAGCAAUUCUUUGCCUGCAGCCUUCAAGGAGCCCCUGCCGAGAUUUUCGCUGUUUUUCAUUCCCAGUAACAUGUUUUGCUUCUUGCUCCCCCAUUAAACCACCGUGCACCAAA